Syzygium oleosum is the source of this 3010-nucleotide RNA transcript. It is a transcript of the gene named putative pentatricopeptide repeat-containing protein At3g16890, mitochondrial, with no coding region annotated. The record is from RefSeq and is a predicted model, not a curated record. Lineage: Eukaryota; Viridiplantae; Streptophyta; Magnoliopsida; Myrtales; Myrtaceae. The transcript has 2 exons.
ACCCAACGGAGCACGACCGAACGGGGCUGUCAUCGACCGGUCUCCGCCGCAUCAGACGAACUUCUCUCCCUCGUCGCCUUCCCUUCUCCUACUCCGUCUGCUACUGAACGUUUUUGCCGGAGGACAUGACAUGAGACGGCUUCCUCCUCUCGCUUCCAGGGCUUCGACUGCACUCACGACCCUCUCCGACGAAGCUUUUGCUCACAAGAAGCUCCUCCCAGAUAACCCCUCGAAGCCCCAACCCAAAUCGCCCGUUCGCCAGGGAGAUAUCAGCCGAGCACGAGAAGCGCCGGGCGGAGGUAAGCCUCCGCACUACUCGGGCCCCAGCGAUACCUUUCCCAGGGAAAACCGCAAUUCACGUGACCAGCAAAUCGAUCGCCAUUACAUUUCUCGAGUCCUUUCGAGGAAGGACUGGUUCUUGCUGCUUACCCACGAGCACAGAGCGAAGAGGGCGGCGGUUCUGAGCGCUCAGUCCGUGGCGAGCGUUUUGCAGAAUCAGGAAAACCCGGUGCACCCUUUGAAGUUUUACAUCUGGGUAUCGAGUUUUAGCCCCGGGAUUGCCAAGAAUCGAUCGGUUAGAGCUGUUUUGGCCAAUGCGCUGCAUAGGAAGGGCCCUGUUGUAUUGUCGGCUGAGCUGAUUCAGGAUGUUAGGAGUUCUGGCGGCCGGUUCACGGAGGAUUUGCUUUGUGUGUUGAUUGGCAGCUGGGGCAGGUUAGGAUUGGCUAAGUACUGCGAUGAAGUUUUUGGGCAGAUUUCCUUUCUGGGUUUUAGUCCGACUACUAGGAUAUAUAAUGCGGUGAUCGAUGCGUUAGUGAAAGCCAAUUCGUUGGACAAGGCUUAUUUGAAGUUCCAGCAGAUGGCUGCUGAUAACUGCAAACCGGAUAGGUUCACUUAUAAUAUACUUGUUCAUGGGGUUUGCCGUGCUGGCGUGAUGGAUGAGGCACGUCGCUUGGUUAAACAAAUGGAGGGGGUCGGUUAUAAGCCUAAUGUGUAUACGUACACGAUACUUAUUGAUGGUUUCUGUAAUGCAAAAAUGGCAGAUGAAGCAUUCAAGGUCAUAGAAACCAUGAGGAAAAGGAAUGUGCCUCCAAAUGAAGCCACUAUCAGAUCAUUGGUUCAUGGAGUGUUUCGAUGCACUGAUGCCGGGAAGGCAUUUGAGUUGUUGUGUAGCUUUGUGGAAAGGGAACCGAGCUUGAUCAAAUUUACUUGCGAUACUUUGCUUUUUUGCCUUUCAAACAAUUCUAUGGCAAGAGAAGCAGCUGGUCUUCUGAGAAAGUUUGGUGAGAGAGGUUAUGUCCCUGAUGGUGUGACUUUUAACAUUGCUAUUGUUUGUUUGGUGAAAGGCUUGGAUCUGAAUGAGGUGCUUGAGCUACUUGAUAGAUUUAACGAAAGAGGUGUGAAGCCAGGGUUCAGUACUUAUUAUGCACUCAUCGAAGCGCUAUACAAGGCUGGAAGAAUUCAGGAUGGCGAUCGGUACUUAAAUUGGAUCUUUGAGGAUGGGCAAGUCUCAAAUGUCUUUUCGUACAAUAUGCUGAUUGAUUGCUUCUGCCGAACCAAAAUGCUGGGCAGGGCACUGGAAACUUUGAGAGAUAUGCAAAAUAUUGGGAUUGCACCUAAUCUUGUGACUCUCAACACCAUCAUUAGUGCACAUUGCAAGGAAGGAGACAUGAGAAAAGCCCAGGAACUGCUGGAGAUGGUUUUUCAGUUUGGUUUUAAACCUGAUGUUGUCACUUUUAGCGCAAUAAUUGAUGGACUUUGUAGACUAAACAAGAUCGAAGAUGCACUUGAUUGUUUUGCAGAAAUGAGGGAGUGGGGCGUCACUCCAAAUGCUAUCACUUACAGCAUAUUGAUCCGAUCCCUGUGUUUUACUGGAGGUGUUGGGAAAUCAUUGAAACUGCUAAGCAAAAUGCAAGCAGAUGGAAUUAGCCCAGACAUUUCUUGUUUCAGUGCACUUAUUCACAGCUGUUGUAAGAUUAACCGUGUUGAGAAGGCUAGGAAGCUCUUCUUUUCAAUGUUGACAUUGGGUUUGACUCCUGAAAAGCAGACCUACAAUGCUUUAAUCAAGGCAUUGCAUGAAUCAGGGCAAUCUGAUGAGGCCAAGGCACUUCUUGCCAUGAAUGGAAAUGGAUGUGCACCUUGAUAGAGUGCAAGCAAUUUUCUAGAGGCCAAAGUCUGAUAAUGACAAUAUAGAGAGGCAAACAAUAUAGAGUAAAGAUAUGGAUAAACAAGAGAUCUUUCUAAAUGUUAUCCCUAUUGUAUAGGGGGAGGUUUUCAAGGAUUGUUAUGACUGGGGUUCAUGAGUAUGUUCUGCAUUGCAAAGCAUGGAGCCUGAAGGCAAUUCGACUAGAUAACAUCUAACGUUCUGUUUUCUUGUGGCAUUUAUUAAUUCAAGAGCUAGAGCUUGAAUCUGGUUGCUUUUUUUUUGGUGGGCAGAAGAAUCCGGAAAAUUGUUCUAACCGUUGGUCCAACUGAUUGUCAUCAGUAAUUUGUCGAAGUCAAGGACUGGACAUUGUGAAUUGGCAUUGUCUUACAAAGGUGAAAAGUGAACUUCAAUCGUGGGAAUGUUGAAUACAGGAAGCCACCCUGAUAUUCUGUACUUAAAGUUGGCUUUAGGGGAUCGGAAGAUCAGUGUUGUCAUACGAAGAUGUGCCAGAAUCAUUCCAUAAGCUUCCUCCUCAGAUUACUCGGUUACUUGGAGGAACUGAGAGCUGUCCCGGUGUGCUUUGCACGGAGGAGCAUGAUAACAAUUUAAAGUUAAUGUGGUUAAUGACCAUGGAUAUUAUACUCCUAACAUUGUGUGUAAUGCGAAUAAAGUUCACCUGUACGCUAUUACCGUUUAGAUUCUUUGAUCAUCUGAAUCUGUGGGCGGAUGCACAGACUGAGUUUCUUGUGAGCAUACUGUACCACAUUUGUUCCUAGACAUGUACCUGGGUUUGAGAAUAGAGCACAUCACACAUUGGGUUUUCGGCAUACGCCUUUUUCUAAUAAUUUAUAUAUCUGUCCUUUGUUU